RNAcentral lists this ribosomal RNA (253 nucleotides) under uncultured bacterium. Its description in RNAcentral is "partial 16S ribosomal RNA". It matches the Rfam family "Bacterial small subunit ribosomal RNA", at positions 524 to 776 of the family's 1533-position model. The record is from RNAcentral.
UACGGAGGGUGCAAGCGUUAUCCGGAUUUAUUGGGUUUAAAGGGUGCGUAGGUGGUCUAUUAAGUCAGUGCUGAAAUAUCCCGGCUUAACCGGGAGGGUGGCAUUGAUACUGAUGGACUUGAGUGGAGUUGAGGUAGGCGGAAUUGACGGUGUAGCGGUGAAAUGCUUAGAUAUCGUCAAGAACACCAAUAGCGAAGGCAGCUUACUAAGCUCUAACUGACACUGAUGCACGAAAGUGUGGGGAUCAAACAGG